RNAcentral lists this ribosomal RNA (468 nucleotides) under uncultured bacterium. RNAcentral describes it as "partial 16S ribosomal RNA". It matches the Rfam family "Bacterial small subunit ribosomal RNA", at positions 28 to 507 of the family's 1533-position model. The record is from RNAcentral.
GACGAACGCUGGCGGCGUGCUUAACACAUGCAAGUCGAACGGAAAGGCCCUGCUUUUGUGGGUUGCUCGAGUGGCGAACGGGUGAGUAACACGCGAGUAACCUGCCCUUGACUUUGGGAUAACUUCAGGAAACUGGGGCUAAUACCGGAUAGGAGCUCCUGCUGCAUGGUGGGGGUUGGAAAGUUUCGGCGGUUGGGGAUGGACUCGCGGCUUAUCAGCUUGUUGGUGGGGUAGUGGCUUACCAAGGCUUUGACGGGUAGCCGGCCUGAGAGGGUGACCGGCCACAUUGGGACUGAGAUACGGCCCAGACUCCUACGGGAGGCAGCAGUGGGGAAUAUUGCACAAUGGGCGGAAGCCUGAUGCAGCAACGCCGCGUGCGGGAUGACGGCCUUCGGGUUGUAAACCGCUUUCGCCUGUGACGAAGCGUGAGUGACGGUAAUGGGUAAAGAAGCACCGGCUAACUACGUG